RNAcentral lists this ribosomal RNA (507 nucleotides) under uncultured bacterium. Its description in RNAcentral is "partial 16S ribosomal RNA". It matches the Rfam family "Bacterial small subunit ribosomal RNA", at positions 28 to 507 of the family's 1533-position model. The record is from RNAcentral.
GACGAACGCUGGCGGCGUGCCUAAUACAUGCAAGUCGAACGCAUUUUCUUUCACCGUAGCUUGCUACACCGAAAGAAAAUGAGUGGCGAACGGGUGAGUAACACGUUGGUAACCUGCCCAUCAGCGGGGGAUAACACUUGGAAACAGGUGCUAAUACCGCAUAAUUCCAUCUACCGCAUGGUAAAUGGAUGAAAGGCGCUUUUGCGUCACUGAUGGAUGGGCCCGCGGUGCAUUAGCUAGUUGGUGGGGUAACGGCCUACCAAGGCUGCGAUGCAUAGCCGACCUGAGAGGGUGAUCGGCCACACUGGGACUGAGACACGGCCCAGACUCCUACGGGAGGCAGCAGUAGGGAAUCUUCGGCAAUGGACGCAAGUCUGACCGAGCAACGCCGCGUGAGUGAAGAAGGUUUUCGGAUCGUAAAACUCUGUUGUUAGAGAAGAACAAGGAUGAGAGUGGAAAGUUCAUCCCUUGACGGUAUCUAACCAGAAAGCCACGGCUAACUACGUG